CAACGACAACCACGAUGACUUCUACGAUAACAAGAGAUGUGCAUGCAUACGAAAAGCGUAAGCGCGAUUUUUGUUGGUUUGAUCAACCAGACCAUCUUCGUGAUAGGUUUCAAACCGAUCAAAUCUGACAUCAAAUCGUCGCUUCCGCCGUACGUAUGCAUGGUUAAUCUCUAAACCGUGCGGCCAUCUUCGCGAUAGGCUCGACAUGGUUAAAACGGUUGAUCGAGCGGCCAUCUUCGUGAUAGGCUCGACACGAUCAAGCCCGCUUAGUUUACUACAUAAACUGUGCGGCCAUCUUCGUGAUAGGCUCGACAAGGUCGAAAGGAUUAAUCGAGCGGCCAUCUUCGUGAUAGGCUCGACACGAUUAAACCCCGCGCACUUGAACAAAACGUGAUAAAAAUAAUAAUAAAAAAUGGACGAAUACUGUCGUUGUUUGCCAUCUUCAUAUCGCCAUCUUCGCGAUAAGCACCGUCAUUUUCAUAACAAGCUCGACGUGAAUUAAUCUCGUAUAUUUGGACAAAAAUAUAUAUAAAA
This 534-nucleotide long non-coding RNA is filed under the name Ananas comosus (pineapple). RNAcentral describes it as "long non-coding RNA (ACOM_LNC018005)". Lineage: Eukaryota; Viridiplantae; Streptophyta; Magnoliopsida; Poales; Bromeliaceae. The record is from RNAcentral.